UGUUUAUAAAACAACUUGUGAUCAGUGUGUGAAGAGUAAAAUAAAGUGUGAUGGAGGGAAGCCAAUGUGCAAGCAAUGUCUGUUUCGAAAAAGGACCAACACCG
This 104-nucleotide non-coding RNA is filed under the name Heterosigma akashiwo. The record is from RNAcentral. Lineage: Eukaryota; Raphidophyceae; Chattonellales; Chattonellaceae.